AAUAGAUACCCGGGUAGUCCAUGCCGUAAACGUUGGGCACUAGGUGUGGGGCUCAUUCCACGAGUUCCGUGCCGCAGCAAACGCAUUAAGUGCCCCGCCUGGGGAGUACGGCCGCAAGGCUAAAACUCAAAGGAAUUGACGGGGGCCCGCACAAGCGGCGGAGCAUGCGGAUUAAUUCGAUGCAACGCGAAGAACCUUACCAAGGCUUGACAUGCACGGGAAGCCACCAGAGAUGGUGGUCUCUUUGGACACUCGUGCACAGGUGGUGCAUGGUUGUCGUCAGCUCGUGUCGUGAGAUGUUGGGUUAAGUCCCGCAACGAGCGCAACCCUCGUCCCAUGUUGCCAGCGGGUUAUGCCGGGGACUCAUGGGAGACUGCCGGGGUCAACUCGGAGGAAGGUGGGGAUGACGUCAAAUCAUCAUGCCCCUUAUGUCUUGGGCUUCACGCAUGCUACAAUGGCCGGUACAAAGGGCUGCGAUACCGUAAGGUGGAGCGAAUCCCGAAAAAGCCGGUCUCAGUUCGGAUUGGGGUCUGC
Molecule: ribosomal RNA, 534 nt
Filed under: uncultured bacterium
Lineage: Bacteria
Description: bacterial SSU rRNA
Rfam family: Bacterial small subunit ribosomal RNA
Source: RNAcentral